GGUUGAUCCUGCCAGUGGUCAUAUGCUUGUCUCAAAGAUUAAGCCAUGCAUGUUUAAGCAGAAGCCGCACAACGGUAAAGCCGCGAAUGGCUCAUUACAACAGCCGUCGUUUCUUGGAUCUCUAAAUUUACUUGGAUAACUGUGGUAAUUCUAGAGCUAAUACACGCACUAAAGCUCUGACCUUACGGGACGAGCGCAUUUAUUAGAACAAAACCAAUCGGGUUUCGGCCCGUUCGUUGGUGACUCUGAAUAACUCUGCCGAUCGCACGGUCUCGCACCGGCGACGUAUCUUUCAAGUGUCUGCCUUAUCAACUUUCGAUGGUAGUUUAUGUGCCUACCAUGGUUGUAACGGGUAACGGAGAAUAAGGGUUCGACUCCGGAGAGGGAGCCUGAGAAACGGCUACCACAUCCAAGGAAGGCAGCAGGCGCGCAAAUUACCCACUCUCGGCACGAGGAGGUAGUGACGAAAAAUAACGAGACGGAUCUCUUUGAGGCCCGUUAUCGGAAUGAGAACAAUUCAAAUCCUUUAACGAGGAUCUAGCGGAGGGCAAGUCUGGUGCCAGCAGCCGCGGUAAUUCCAGCUCCGCAGGUGUAUAUCUAUGCUGCUGCGGUUAAAAAGCUCGUAGUUGGAUCUGCGUGCUCGGAACUGGUUGGCUCACUGAGCUCAUACUGGUCUCCGGCGCUUUAUUGGCUGGUUCUCCCUUGAUGCUCUUAACCGGGUGUCUUGGGUGGCUAGCACGUUUACUUUGAAAAAAUUAGAGUGCUCAAUACAGGCGCAAAGCCUUGAAUAGUGGUGCAUGGAAUAAUAGAAUAGGACCUCGGCUCUAUUUUGUUGGUUUUCGGAACGCGAGGUAAUGAUUAAGAGGGACAGACGGGGGCAUUCGUAUUGCGACGUUAGAGGUGAAAUUCUUGGAUCGUCGCAAGACGGACGACUGCGAAAGCAUUUGCCAAGAAUGUUUUCAUUAAUCAAGAACGAAAGUUAGAGGUUCGAAGGCGAUCAGAUACCGCCCUAGUUCUAACCGUAAACGAUGCCAACUAGCGAUUCGCAGGCGUUAAACAACGACCUUGCGGGCAGCUUCCCGGAAACGAAAGUGUUCGGGUUCCGGGGGAAGUAUGGUUGCAAAGCUGAAACUUAAAGGAAUUGACGGAAGGGCACCACCAGGAGUGGAGCCUGCGGCUUAAUUUGACCCAACACGGGAAAACUCACCCGGCCCGGACACCGUAAGGAUUGACAGAUUGAGAGCUCUUUCUUGAUUCGGUGGGUGGUGGUGCAUGGCCGUUCUUAGUUGGUGGAGCGAUUUGUCUGGUUUAUUCCGAUAACGAACGAGACUCUGGCCUACUAAAUAGUGGGCGGAUUCUUUCUGUCCGCAACACUUCUUAGAGGGACAAGC
This 1391-nucleotide ribosomal RNA is filed under the name metagenome. RNAcentral's name for it is "SSU rRNA". It matches the Rfam family "Eukaryotic small subunit ribosomal RNA", at positions 6 to 1424 of the family's 1831-position model. The record is from RNAcentral.